Molecule: long non-coding RNA, 1112 nt
Filed under: Phasianus colchicus (ring-necked pheasant)
Lineage: Eukaryota; Metazoa; Chordata; Aves; Galliformes; Phasianidae
Description: lncRNA (ENSPCLG00000017311.1)
Source: RNAcentral
UCUAUGGUCAUCUCUAUGGUCAUCUCUAUGGUCUUUCCAACAACUCUAUGUCAUCUCCACGAUCAUCUCUAUGGUCAUUCUUAUGGUCCUCCCAACUUCUGUAUGGUCACCUCCACUGUCAUCUCUAUGGUCAUCUCUAUGGUCCCCCCCAACGUCUCUAUGGUCAUCUCCACAGUCAUCUCUAUGGUCACUUCCAUAAUCAUCUCUAUUAUCACUUCUAUAGUCAUCCCUAUGGUCCUCCCAACAUCUCUAUGGUCACCCCUAUGGUCAUCUCUAUGGUGCUCUAAAUGUCUCUAUGGUCACCUCUGUAGUCAUCUCUAUGGUCAUCUCUAUGAUCCUCCCAACGUCUCUAUGGCCACCUCCACGGUCAUCUCUAUGGUCAUUCCAAUGGUCCUCCCAACGUCUCUAUGGUCAUCUCUACUAUCAUCUCUAUGGUUAUUCCUAUGGUCCUCCCAACGUCUCUAUAGUCAUCUCCACCAUCAUCUCUAUGGUCACUUCUCUGGUCAUCUCUAUGGUCUUCCCAAUGUCUCAAUGGUCAUCUUCACCAUCAUCUCUAUAGUCACUUCCAUGGUCAUCUCUAUGGUCCUCCCAUCAUCUCUAUGGUCCUCCCACCCUCUCUAUGGUCCUCCCAUCCUCUCUACGGUCCUCCCACCCCUUCUCUAUGGUCCUCCCACCCUCUCUAUGGUCCUCCAAUGUCAUUACAGACCUCCCACCCCCUCUCUAUGGUUCUCCCAUCCUCUCUAUGGUCCUCCCCCCCUCUCUAUGGUCCCCCUCACCUCUCUCCAAUCAGCGCCCGUUCGCCCCACGAGAAGCUGCCGCCGCGGCAUCGCCCCCAUUCCCUCUGCCAAAAAACACCACAUUUCACCCCAAAAUUCCCAUCCUUCCCCCCAAAUUCCUUCCCCUGCCCCCCCAUCGCACGCCCUUAUCAUUUCCUUACCCCAAAACCCCGCUUUUCCCACCCCAAAAUCCCCGUUUUUCCUCCCCAAAUCCCACUCCUCCACCAAAUUCCAUUUUCCUCCCCCCAAACCCCAAAAUCUCCCUUUUUUCCCCCAAAAUCCCCCCCCAAAUCCCCAAAUCUCCCCAAAUAAUGACCACCAGCCCCAAUUUUCUGC